ACAAGACCAGGUGAUAUCCUGACCUCUUCCCCCGUAGCCCAGCUGACAGCCUAUCAACUGCGGAUAAUAUUAAAGAAAUAAUUUAUUUUAGGGCUUAGGUGUUGCCCAACCGAAAGUCAUUAACCAGCAACCCCAGAGGACAGCUGGUAAAGAAGUCUAUAUAUAACUGUUGCUUUAGCAUCUGAUGGUAUUUUUGAAGUUACUGAAGCAAGGCAGGUAGUCCAAAGGUAAAUCUGGGCACAAAACAAGAAAGAAUGAGGGCAACCUAGAACCUAUGUCUAUCUUUUAUUGCAGCUGAUCUCCUUGCCAUGGAGCAGUAUACAUGUGUCUUGCCCAGGUCUCAGGGAAGUUGCUGCUUCAUACCAAAAGGGUGAGCCAGCAGAUCAAUGAAAGUGAGAACUGCAGUGGGCCAUAUUGCCUGGGGCCCUGCACUAACUUUCCAAGCAGAGUGGAUCCUGCUUCACUUCUAUCUUCCAAAUGCCACGUGCAUAUCUUGGUUGUCUACUCUAAUCCAGAAUUAUACAGAGAAGAGGAUCCCAAGAGAAAUAAUUGCAGUGAGGCUAAGUAAACGCAAUACACCUACCAUGCCAACCUAAGUCCUCCAGCUUCCAGCCAAGUGGCCAGACCCAUGAACCUAUUCAACAGAGCUGGGCCAAGAUCACCAGAUCAGGACAGUUCAGGCUACCGUAGAAUCACAAGGUAAAUAAACAGUUUUAAGCUACUAAGUUUGUUGUUCAUACAAAGAUAAUGAAAGUGGACAUCUAAAAAUGGUGACAUGGAUGUGUAACACAGUAGAUGGGAACAGAGGUAUCAGCUAGGCUUCUCUAUGUAUUCUUUAUUUGAUAACAUUUGUUUGUUUGUUUGGGGAGUUACCUGGGAUUGAACUGAGGGGCACUUGAUCACUGAGC
RNAcentral lists this long non-coding RNA (908 nucleotides) under Marmota monax (woodchuck). Lineage: Eukaryota; Metazoa; Chordata; Mammalia; Rodentia; Sciuridae. The record is from RNAcentral.